GAUACGUCACGUGAACUGCACUCUUCGUGAAUCAUUAAAUCUUUGAACGCAUAUGGCACCUCGAGGCACACGUCUCGAGGUAUACUUGUUUGAGCAUCCGAUACAUCCUCACUCUACCAUUGGCAGAAUGUGCAACUGAGUGUAGUUGGGAUCUAACACCCACCAGUAAAGGGGGGUAUUAUUUCUUUAAAAGCAGGCACAGUCAUGAUUUCUGGUCACACAACAUGGCUAUUCAUGGGAUAAUAUCCACGACGUGAAUGGCAUGUGUGUGACCACCUAUCUUAUGACAGCAAACCGACUCUCAUCAGAGAGCCAACUAACCAAUGAAACCGAUCUCAAAUCAAGUAAGAUGACCCGCUGAACUUAAGCAUAUCAAUAAGCGGAGA
RNAcentral lists this ribosomal RNA (386 nucleotides) under uncultured fungus. RNAcentral describes it as "eukaryotic LSU rRNA". The stretch from base 1 to 99 matches the Rfam family "5.8S ribosomal RNA", at positions 57 to 154 of the family's 154-position model. The record is from RNAcentral. Lineage: Eukaryota; Fungi.